GAUGAACGCUGGCGGCGUGCCUAAUACAUGCAAGUCGAGCGAACGGACGAGAAGCUUGCUUCUCUGAUGUUAGCGGCGGACGGGUGAGUAACACGUGGAUAACCUACCUAUAAGAUUGGGAUAACUUCGGGAAACCGGAGCUAAUACCGGAUAAUAUUUUGAACCGCAUGGUUCAAAAGUGAAAGACGGUCUUGCUGUCACUUAUAGAUGGAUCUGCGCUGCAUUAGCUAGUUGGUAAGGUAACGGCUUACCAAGGCAACGAUGCAUAGCCGACCUGAGAGGGUGAUCGGCCACACUGGAACUGAGACACGGUCCAGACUCCUACGGGAGGCAGCAGUAGGGAAUCUUCCGCAAAGGGCGAAAGCCUGACGGAGCAACGCCGCGUGAGUGAUGAAGGUCUUCGGAUCGUAAAACUCUGUUAUUAGGGAAGAACAUAUGUGUAAGUAACUGUGCACAUCUUGACGGUACCUAAUCAGAAAGCCACGGCUAACUACGUG
RNAcentral lists this ribosomal RNA (497 nucleotides) under uncultured bacterium. Its description in RNAcentral is "partial 16S ribosomal RNA". It matches the Rfam family "Bacterial small subunit ribosomal RNA", at positions 28 to 507 of the family's 1533-position model. The record is from RNAcentral.